Non-coding RNA from Rattus norvegicus (Norway rat), 93 nucleotides. NCBI's taxonomy places the organism in Eukaryota, Metazoa, Chordata, Mammalia, Rodentia, Muridae. The record is from Rfam.
CUGAGGCACCUGUCUCAGGGGCCCAGGCAGCAUCUGGUCUCCCUUCUGGGGGACAAGACAUCCCUGUUUAAUAUUUAAACAGCAGUGUUCCCA